CCAACUCCAAGAGUGUAUCUUAAUGUUGCUGCAGUUAAAAAGCUCGUAGUUGAAUUUCUGAGGAUGGGAGAAGCCUUCCGGUGGAUCCCGUCUUCAUCCGCUUGGAGAGGCUGUGUGACCUUCACUGGGAGCACAGAUGACCCAGCAUUUUACUUUGAAGAAAUUAGAGUGUUCAUGGCAGGCUGUGCUUGCAUAAAUUAGCAUGGAAUAAUGGAAUAAGACUAGUCUGUUUUAUUGGUUGACAGAAUAGUAAUGAUUAACAGGGACAGUCGGGGGCAUUCGUACUCAGUGGCCAGAGGUGAAAUUCUUAGACUCGCUGAAGACGCACUAAUGCGAAAGCAUUUGCCAAGGAUGUUUUCA
Molecule: ribosomal RNA, 360 nt
Filed under: Chilodonella piscicola
Lineage: Eukaryota; Ciliophora; Phyllopharyngea; Chlamydodontida; Chilodonellidae
Also listed under: 1 other name
Description: SSU rRNA
Rfam family: Eukaryotic small subunit ribosomal RNA
Source: RNAcentral